This 163-nucleotide small nuclear RNA is filed under the name Olea europaea subsp. europaea. Its description in RNAcentral is "U12 minor spliceosomal RNA". It matches the Rfam family "U12 minor spliceosomal RNA". Rfam says of the family: Although the U12 sequence is very divergent from that of U2, the two are functionally analogous. Lineage: Eukaryota; Viridiplantae; Streptophyta; Magnoliopsida; Lamiales; Oleaceae. The record is from Rfam by way of RNAcentral.
CUGCCUUAAACUAAUGAGUAAGGAAAACAAAGCGGGCGGUGAGAGCUGACCGCAGCACCGAUUACUCAAAGAAAUGGUGCAAGAAUUUAUGGAGGGGUUAUAGGCUGGCCGAGCGUUGACGCUGCUUACUUUGCAGAACUCGCUUGAGCGGGCCUCCCAACCC